Molossus molossus (Pallas's mastiff bat) is the source of this 107-nucleotide small nuclear RNA. Lineage: Eukaryota; Metazoa; Chordata; Mammalia; Chiroptera; Molossidae. The record is from RefSeq and is a predicted model, not a curated record.
GUGCUCGCUUCCACAGCACAUAUACUAAAAUUAGGACAAUACAGAGAAGAUUAGCAUGGCCCCUGUGCAAAGAUGACAUGCAAAUUUGUGAAGUGGUAAAAAAAAAA